CAAAAAAAGGAGUGAGAGAGAGCAAGCGAGACAGAAACACCAAAGCCGACAGAAAACCCGCGCGACGAACUGUUGCGACACAGAGCGAAGAGCGCGGCGAAGGCUGGCGGCGAGCGCACAGUGAGCUCCCGCACCUCGGAGCCGGCGGCCAGCACGACGGCGGCCCCCAGCCCCCCACCAUGAACACCAUCGUCUUCAGCAAGCUCAGCGGCCAGGUGCUUUUCGAGGAGGACGCCAAGGAGCGGGAGCGGAGCGGCCGGUCCUACGUGGGGGUGGUGGAGGGCCCGCACCACGCCGAGGUGCUGCUCCCCGACAGCCCGUCCAUCAAGGAGAGCCUCAGCCUGCGCAACCGGCGGACGGGGGCGCGGCAGAGCGGCGGGAAGGUGCGGCACAAGCGGCAGGCGCUGCAGGACAUGGCGCGGCCGCUCAAGCAAUGGCUCUACAAGCACCGCGACAACCCAUACCCCACCAAGACGGAGAAGAUUCUGCUGGCCCUCGGCUCCCAGAUGACCCUGGUGCAGGUAUCAAACUGGUUUGCCAAUGCAAGACGUCGCCUGAAGAACACUGUCAGGCAGCCAGACCUGAGCUGGGCUUUACGAAUAAAACUGUACAACAAAUAUGUUCAGGGAAAUGCUGAGCGACUCAGUGUGAGCAGCGAUGACUCGUGCUCUGAAGAUGGAGAAAAUCCUCCGAGAAACCAUAUGAAUGAAGGGGGAUAUAACAAACCAGUUCAUCACACUGUGAUUAAAACUGAAAGUUCAGUAAUAAAAACAGGAGUGAGACCAGAAGCAAGUGCCAAUGAGGAUUAUGUGUCACCCCCCAAAUACAAAAGCAGCUUACUGAAUCGUUACCUAAAUGACUCAUUGAGACAUGUCAUGGCUACUAAUGCAGCUAUGAUGGAAAAAACAAGGCAAAGGAAUCAUUCUGGUUCAUUUAGUUCCAAUGAAUUUGAGGAAGAACUGGUGUCUCCAUCAUCAUCAGAGACAGAAGGCAAUUUUGUCUAUCGGACAGAAAAUCUGGAAAAGUAAAAAACAUUCAAACAGAAAGCGAUCAGAUAAACAUUUGAAGAUAAACUAGCUGAAAAGAAACACAAAAAUAGGUAAAGCAAAAUUGCAAUGAGGCAUGAAAUUUGUUUUCCUGAAUUUUUCACAGUGGCCUUGAAACCUGAUGUCAGCGGCUCCAUCUCUGUUCUUUCACUGAUGGCCAGAAAUUGAGGUUAUGAUGACCAGAUCGUUUGGUAUGGCACUGGCAUGUCAAGUUGAAAGGAAUUGCCAAGAUUCUCAGUUAUGACACUAAAAUAUACCAGUAUUUCUAGAGCCAAUUUUCAGUCCCUCCCUCAUGCCUCCACAUUGAUUUAGGCAACAGAUGCACAAAAAGCAAAGCAACAUUCAAAAUAGUCCCCUAGCUGAGGCUGGGGGAAGGCUGGCUAGUGGGCUGUAGCCAAAAUUCCUUAAAUGUUACAAUGUUUUACAUUUCUAAAUGUAAAAACUUUCUUUCCAAUGUGAGGUACCAGCCAAAUGUCUUAGUUACGGUAUCUCGGAGUGAAAACUGGCAUGUGGCCUUGUGGUCAUUUGUGGGUAUUGACAGAUUUACACCCUCGAAGAUCAAGUUAAACGUUGUUGGUUUCUCCAUCUCCCCUUACUUUGUCACGGUGUUUUUUUCUCUCUGUUACAAAUAGUAAUUUGUCAACUUAAAUCCAGUUUGCUGGAAAAAUGAAGGCUCUUCACGACCUGGCUCUUCAGGAGCAAAUUGCCUCAAAUUCUUUCUGCUAGCCAAGGUAUUUUGUAAUGCAUUGCAAAACAGCGGCAGGACUGCGCUCCUUGCACUGGAUGUACUUUGUGGGCCAGACACUGCGGGCAGUUUUAAUGAGGUCUCGGUGUGCUGGGGAAUUCAUCUCAGCCCUUGACUUCAGGGAGACUUUUAUCCCAGGUCCCUGUUUGUGUAAUUGCUCUUUCUACCCCAAGGAGCAGGAUCUGGCUUGGUCCCAUUGUGGGCUGCACCAUGCAGAGUCUGGACUGGUGGCUGCUCAGGGUUCUGGAUCUGGUGUGCAAAGCCAAUGGUCUGCUCCUGACUAUUUAUGGCAGCUUUGCACUGUGGUGGUGGGUUGUCCUUUAUACAGACACACUAAAAUCAUUGUCCUGUUUUUCUCCCUUUCAUGCUUUUUAGCUGGCAUAGGUGUUGAUUUUUGCAUCAAAUUAAAAUUUCCCUGGGAUCAUCUUCAAAUAGGAGCUUCCUCCCUAAGACAACAGCCCUCGUUCCUUUAUCAGGGAAAGCUCUGGGUGUCUGCAGCACUGUUGUGCCAGCAGAGUCAGAGAGAGCCACGUGCAGCCUGUGAAACUUGUGUCAGCUGGGGGAGCAGGGGUGCUGGGUGAAGCCUGGAGCCCCUCUCUAUCUGCAAUGUCAUAAUUACAAUCAUUCUGGCCCUCCUGCUUGUUGAAUGUCAGUAGUGCUGGGUGUUUAGGGACACUUUCUGAAGGGAAGAGAAACCAAAAAAGCUGUCCUGCUCUGGCCAGCACUUGAGAUUGUAGUGGUGUUGCUCAGAGCUGGGCAGAAGUUUACUAUGGCAGUGAAUUUUGCAAAGACAGAGGAAAAGAGGCUCCCAACUGUAUUGUCUACAAAAAAUUAAAUAUCUUCCUUCCAAAUUCUUGCUGAGUUGCUCCAGAUUGCCCCUGCAAAGCUGAAAAUCCUUUUCACAAAAGUCAGCACAGAAGACAAAGCUAACCUUCAGUACCAGUCAUUAGAACAGAGAACAUCUUGCUCCCUUGGUUUUAAAGGUCACAGCAUUUGGAGCUCAGAGAGGCUUUGGAGAGAAUUCAAAUAGGAGUCCUGAUCAAAAAUUUGUCUUUCAGUAAUUACAUCAAAGAAAGAAAAAUGAGGAUCCAGUUGGAAAUGGAUGAAGUAAAAAAAGACAGAUGUGAUACUAAAGAAGACAACACAAUUGAGAAGCAAUUUUGAUUGAGAAUUGCAAUCACUGGAUAUGGUAGAAUAUUCCUGGAUUUUGUUCUCUCUACCGAAAUGCAGAUUCCACAAAUAAAGCAGAGGGUGUUUCUCCCAGGUCUAUUUGAGCAAUGUGGGAUCUUAAUGUUAACCAAAGUAAUAUGGAAAAGUCCUUGAUGCCAGGUUUUUAGAUACUUUUUUGUUCCUUCUGGGCAGCUGCUCCUUGGGGUCUAAGUGUAUGGAUACUCACAGUGUCGGUGUCCUGAUUUGUAUUCUGGAAUCUUUGCUUCUCCAUAAAGGCUACUGAGUCUUAUAAAAAUAAAAAUAAGCCCCCAAAAUGGGCCUCUGGGUGUUUGAAGGGUGCAAGGCAAGUACCAAUUGCAAAGCUUAGGACCAUUCAGGCAGAAGUCUCCUUUUGUUACGACAGCCUGAGGCAGUGUUGGAGGUGUGAGAGGAAGGGUGAGUGUUGCUGCAAAUGGGGCUGGGGGUGGUCAGCAGCCUUCAGGUUGCUUUGAGCAGCUCUCAGGAUGCUCCUACCUGAGGCAGUAGUUGCCUAGGAAGUGCUACCCAGAGAGAGUUUUUUAAAAGAUUUGCUGAGCCUGGAGUCACAGUUUUUGGUUGAUGGUGUCAGCCAGCACUAGCCAAGACCUGCCUAUGAUCUGGGUGAGCCACAACCAGUGCUGCUCAGAGGGGCUGGUUUUGCCAGAACCUUUCCAGUCUGUUAGUCUGAAGUGACGUGUUGGUGCCACCCAGCUAGGCUGGAUUUUGUGCAUCCUGAUGAAUCUGUACUAUCAAAUACAGCAUUUGCUGGUGGUUCAAGGUCUGUUUGCCCUUUGUUGGAGAAGGGCAGUGGGCAGGAAUUCAGGCACUGUCCACACAUGGGAUUUGCUCUGUCUGCUUUGUAUGCCCUUUGCAGAGCUCCAUAAACUUCACAGACUGUGAUGUAUAGGCAUUUGUUCUAUGGGAAGGCUUUGGCUCACGGGCAAAAA
Taeniopygia guttata (zebra finch) is the source of this 3926-nucleotide non-coding RNA. Lineage: Eukaryota; Metazoa; Chordata; Aves; Passeriformes; Estrildidae. The record is from RefSeq and is a predicted model, not a curated record.